Molecule: long non-coding RNA, 240 nt
Organism: Syngnathus acus (greater pipefish)
Lineage: Eukaryota; Metazoa; Chordata; Actinopteri; Syngnathiformes; Syngnathidae
Exons: 3
Source: RefSeq, a predicted model, not a curated record
CACAAGCGUCCUCUCUGUGGUUGGGCGCCGAUGUCUCACUCGAUGACGAUGACGGCAAAUGGAUUGACGGAUCCUCGUUCACGUUCAAGCGCCAUUGUGAAGGUGACACCGAAGGGGGGCAUUGUCUCUCCUUGCUCGCUGGCAGCGGCGACUGGAAGUACGACCCGUGCGGCAACGAGAGAGGCUACGUCUGCAAGAAAAGAGGAAAAGGAGUGAAAGAAUCUUCCCCGACUCUUGUCG